UGAAUACGAGACGCUAAGGCGUCGAAGUAGUGUAUGUCAUACUUCCAAGAAAAGCUUGCACUGUCAUAGAUAAAAAACGCCUGUACCAUAACCGACACAGGUGGGUAGGUAGAGUAUACUAAGGGGCGCGAGAUAACUCUCUCUAAGGAACUCGGCAAAAUAACUCCGUAACUUCGGGAGAAGGAGUGCCUUAUUCGUAAGGUUGCAAUAACAAGAUCCAAGCAACUGUUUAUCAAAACACAGGUCUCCGCUAAGUCGUAAGACGAUGUAUGGGGGCUGACGCCUGCCCAGUGCCAGAAGGUUAAAGAAGUUGGUUAGCAAUUGCGAAGCUGAUAACUGAAGCCCUGGUGAACGGCGGCCGUAACGAUAACGGUCCUAAGGUAGCGAAAUUCCUUGUCGGGUAAGUUCCGACCCGCACGAAAGGCGUAAUGAUUUGGAUACUGUCUCGGAGAGGGGCUCGGUGAAAUAGACUUGUCUGUGAAGAUGCGGACUACCUGCACCAGGACAGAAAGACCCUAUGAAGCUUUACUGUAACUUGAAAUUGAAAUUGGACUUUAUUCGCGCAGUAUAGGUGGGAGGCGUUGAUUAUAAUCUUGUGGGAUUAUUGGAGCCAUCAGUGAGAUACCACUCUUGUAAUGUUAGAUUUCUAACUUUGAAUCAUUAUCUGGUCAAAGAACAGUUUCAGGCGGGCAGUUUGACUGGGGCGGUCGCCUCCUAAACGGUAACGGAGGCGUACAAAGGUUUCCUCUGAACGGUUAGAAAUCGUAUCUAGAGUGUAAAGGCAUAAGGAAGCUUGACUGUGAGACCUACAAGUCGAGCAGGGACGAAAGUCGGUCUUAGUGAUCUGACGGUACUGAGUGGAAAGGCCGUCACUCAACGGAUAAAAGUUACUCUAAGGAUAACAGGCUGAUCCCCCCCAAGAGUUCACAUCGACGGGGAGGUUUGGCACCUCGAUGUCGGCUCAUCGCAUCCUGGGGCGGUAGUACGUCCCAAGGGUUGGGCUGUUCGCCCAUGAAAGCGGUACGCGAGCUGGGUUCAGAACGUCGUGAGACAGUUCGGUCCAUAUCCGGUGUAGGCGUUAGAAUAUUGAGAGGAGCCUUCUUUAGUACGAGAGGACCGAGAAGGACAUACCUCUGGUGUACCAGUUAUCGUGCCAACGGUAAACGCUGGGUAGCUAUGUAUGGAGUGGAUAACCGCUGAAAGCAUCUAAGUGGGAAGCCCACCUCAAGAUAAGUAUUCUCAC
RNAcentral lists this ribosomal RNA (1243 nucleotides) under metagenome. RNAcentral describes it as "bacterial LSU rRNA". It matches the Rfam family "Bacterial large subunit ribosomal RNA", at positions 1564 to 2817 of the family's 2925-position model. The record is from RNAcentral.